This 31-nucleotide non-coding RNA is filed under the name Homo sapiens (human). The record is from RNAcentral. Lineage: Eukaryota; Metazoa; Chordata; Mammalia; Primates; Hominidae.
UGUCCUUGUUGACUGUCGAGCCACCCUUGGU